CCACAGGUGGCUCAGCUGGUAGAGAAUCCACUUGCAAUGGGGGAGAUCUGGGUUCGAUCCCUGGCUUGGGAA
RNAcentral lists this transfer RNA (72 nucleotides) under Bos taurus (domestic cattle). It matches the Rfam family "tRNA". From Rfam's summary of the family: Transfer RNA (tRNA) molecules are approximately 80 nucleotides in length. Their secondary structure includes four short double-helical elements and three loops (D, anti-codon, and T loops). Lineage: Eukaryota; Metazoa; Chordata; Mammalia; Artiodactyla; Bovidae. The record is from Rfam by way of RNAcentral. RNAcentral also lists the same sequence under 4 other names.